GCCGGUGUGGCGAAAUUGGCAGACGCAAGGGACUUAAAAUCCCUCGGAGUGAGAGCUCCGUACCGGUUCGAGUCCGGUCACCGGCACCA
This 89-nucleotide transfer RNA is filed under the name Clostridia bacterium. RNAcentral describes it as "tRNA-Leu". It matches the Rfam family "tRNA". From Rfam's summary of the family: Transfer RNA (tRNA) molecules are approximately 80 nucleotides in length. The record is from RNAcentral. Lineage: Bacteria; Bacillati; Bacillota; Clostridia.